Small nucleolar RNA from Macaca fascicularis (crab-eating macaque), 101 nucleotides. The record is from Ensembl. Lineage: Eukaryota; Metazoa; Chordata; Mammalia; Primates; Cercopithecidae.
AUUCUUUUGUAGUUGCUAAGUGUGAUGGUUAUGUGUUCACACACAUGUAUAAGAUGUGCCAUCCUCCAACCUUGUUAUAAUGUCACAUUACCCGACUGAUG